Molecule: ribosomal RNA, 428 nt
Filed under: uncultured bacterium
Lineage: Bacteria
Description: partial 16S ribosomal RNA
Rfam family: Bacterial small subunit ribosomal RNA
Source: RNAcentral
UGGGGGAAUAUUGCACAAUGGGCGCAAGCCUGAUGCAGCCAUGCCGCGUGUGUGAAGAAGGCCUUCGGGUUGUAAAGCACUUUCAGCGAGGAGGAAGGUGGUGAACUUAAUACGUUCAUCAAUUGACGUUACUCGCAGAAGAAGCACCGGCUAACUCCGUGCCAGCAGCCGCGGUAAUACGGAGGGUGCAAGCGUUAAUCGGAAUUACUGGGCGUAAAGCGCACGCAGGCGGUUUGUUAAGUCAGAUGUGAAAUCCCCGGGCUCAACCUGGGAACUGCAUUUGAAACUGGCAAGCUAGAGUCUCGUAGAGGGGGGUAGAAUUCCAGGUGUAGCGGUGAAAUGCGUAGAGAUCUGGAGGAAUACCGGUGGCGAAGGCGGCCCCCUGGACGAAGACUGACGCUCAGGUGCGAAAGCGUGGGGAGCAAACA